CACUCAUGGCUCAGGUCAGCUGACGUCCCUUCCUGUGCCCUUCCAUGGUGGGAGACCACCGCGGGAUGGACCUGUGCUCCUGACCAAGCCUGAAUUAUAAGAGAAUUCUUGUGCUUCUAAAGGCUUCUAAGGCAGAAAAGUAGACACAGGUUCUGAAAAUUCUGAUCUCAGAGUUCUGACUUUCCCAGGCAUGAAGCUCCCUUUGAGGCCCUCAGUUCCACUAGCAAAGCAUGGGGUGCUUCCCGGCCACCCUGCAAGCUGGGCUCCCAGCCACAUCAGCCCCAGAAACAGCAGAGACAACCAUAGAAGGCAACGCUUCUCCUCGGUGAGCCAUGUCCCCCAAGCCUGGCGCGAGGGGCGCUGAGGUUUACGCGGAGCGAUUGCUAGGCUGCCUCCCUUUCUCUGGGCCCAGGAGUUUCCCUCUGAUGCCUGCUGGGGGCUUAUCCGUGAGCAGGCCUGGCCAUGCCCACACACGCAUCUACAACUGUAGGAACUGGCAUCUGUACAGAAUUGAGGGGCCUGGCCAGAGGCUGUAACUGAAAAAACUGCUCUAACUCCUGCGAGCUCACUGGCUAGGAUUCCCUAGCGUUGAUGGCAAGUGGUUCUGGAUCUCUCCAGCAUCUCACAGUGCUCUUUUAAUUUCCACCUGCUGAUCAGGAGGUCUAAGAGAAGGAAGCAAAUCUGAGAACAGAACUAUCACUGGAACACAUUCUGAAUGUUACCCUCAGUUCCAGUUAUCUUUUGCUGUGUAAUAAACCUGCAGGGCCUAAAACAGCCAUUCUCUUUGUCUGACAGGUUAUGUGGGUCAGAUUUUGGCUGGGACAUGGCAAGGACAGCUUGUAUCUGUUGCACAACGUCUGGUCCUUAGCUGAACAGCUGGGGAUGAUUUAAAUGUCUGGGGCUGGCAUGUGGGCUGAGAUGACUUGAUGACUUGGCU
This 937-nucleotide long non-coding RNA is filed under the name Cercocebus atys (sooty mangabey). RNAcentral describes it as "lncRNA (ENSCATG00000045550.1)". Lineage: Eukaryota; Metazoa; Chordata; Mammalia; Primates; Cercopithecidae. The record is from RNAcentral.